CUCAAGGAAGAUAAUGACGGUACUUGAGGAGGAAGCCCCGGCUAACUACGUGCCAGCAGCCGCGGUAAUACGUAGGGGGCUAGCGUUAUCCGGAUUUACUGGGCGUAAAGGGUGCGUAGGCGGUCUUUCAAGUCAGGAGUGAAAGGCUACGGCGCAACCGUAGUAAGCUCUUGAAACUGGGAGACUUGAGUGCAGGAGAGGAGAGUGGAAUUCCUAGUGUAGCGGUGAAAUGCGUAGAUAUUAGGAGGAACACCAGUUGCGAAGGCGGCGCUCUGGACUGUAACUGACGCUGAGGC
RNAcentral lists this ribosomal RNA (296 nucleotides) under Clostridioides difficile. Its description in RNAcentral is "partial 16S ribosomal RNA". It matches the Rfam family "Bacterial small subunit ribosomal RNA", at positions 438 to 752 of the family's 1533-position model. Lineage: Bacteria; Bacillati; Bacillota; Clostridia; Peptostreptococcales; Peptostreptococcaceae. The record is from RNAcentral.